AAACCAGCACCUCAAGUGGUCAGGAUGAUUAUUGGGCCUAAAGCAUCCGUAGCUUGCUUUGUAAGUUUUCGGUUAAAUCUGUACGCUCAACGUACAGGCCGCCGGGAAUACUGCAGGGCUCGGGAGUGGGAGAGGUAGACGGUACUCGGGAGGAAGUGGUAAAAUGCUUUGAUCUCUCGAUGACCACCUGUGGCGAAGGCGGUCUACCAGAACACGUCCGACGGUGAGGGAUGAAAGCUGGGGGAGCAAACCGGAUUAGAAACCCCAGUAGUCC
RNAcentral lists this ribosomal RNA (274 nucleotides) under uncultured bacterium. Its description in RNAcentral is "partial 16S ribosomal RNA". It matches the Rfam family "Archaeal small subunit ribosomal RNA", at positions 473 to 747 of the family's 1478-position model. The record is from RNAcentral.